RNAcentral lists this transfer RNA (94 nucleotides) under Deltaproteobacteria bacterium. Its description in RNAcentral is "tRNA-Ser". It matches the Rfam family "tRNA". Rfam says of the family: Transfer RNA (tRNA) molecules are approximately 80 nucleotides in length. Their secondary structure includes four short double-helical elements and three loops (D, anti-codon, and T loops). Lineage: Bacteria; Pseudomonadati; Myxococcota; Myxococcia. The record is from RNAcentral.
GGAGAGAUGGCCGAGUCGGCUGAAGGCGCUCGCCUGCUAAGCGAGUGUAGGGCUUAACACCCUACCGAGGGUUCGAAUCCCUCUCUCUCCGCCA